This 362-nucleotide ribosomal RNA is filed under the name uncultured rumen bacterium j3RRI. RNAcentral describes it as "partial 16S ribosomal RNA". It matches the Rfam family "Bacterial small subunit ribosomal RNA", at positions 540 to 894 of the family's 1533-position model. The record is from RNAcentral. Lineage: Bacteria; Pseudomonadati; Bacteroidota.
UAUUCCCGGAUUUNAUUUGGGUUUAAGAGGGAGGCGCAGGCNUGAUGAUUANGGCGUGACGUGAAAUNUANCCCNNUCAACGGCUGAACUGCGUUCGCGAACUGGUUAUCUNGAGUGAGUUCGAUGUUGGCGGAAUUCGUGAUGUAGCGGUGAAAUGCUUAGAUAUGCCACAGAACACCGAUCGCGAAGGCAGCUGGCGAGGCUGGUACUGACGCUCAGGCACGAAAGCGUGGGGAUCAAACAGGAUUAGAUACCNCUGGUAGUACCACGCAGUAAACGAUGAAGACUUGUUGUCGGCGAUAGACAGUCGGUGACAAAGCGAAAGCGAUAAGUCUUCCACCUGGGGAGUACGAUCGCAAGGU